RNAcentral lists this ribosomal RNA (253 nucleotides) under uncultured bacterium. Its description in RNAcentral is "partial 16S ribosomal RNA". It matches the Rfam family "Bacterial small subunit ribosomal RNA", at positions 524 to 776 of the family's 1533-position model. The record is from RNAcentral.
UACGGAGGGCGCAAGCGUUGCUCGGAAUUACUGGGCGUAAAGCGCGUGCAGGCGGUCGAGUAAGUCGGUUGUGAAAUCCCCAGGCUCAACCUGGGAACUGCAUCCGAAACUGCUCGGCUAGAGUCCCGGAGAGGGAGGCGGAACUCCCAGUGUAGGGGUGAAAUCCGUAGAUAUUGGGAAGAAAACCGGCGGCGAAAGCGGCCUCCUGGACGGUGACUGACGCUGAGACGCGAAAGCGUGGGGAGCAAACAGG